This 70-nucleotide transfer RNA is filed under the name Percopsis transmontana (sand roller). RNAcentral describes it as "tRNA-Trp". It matches the Rfam family "tRNA". Rfam says of the family: Transfer RNA (tRNA) molecules are approximately 80 nucleotides in length. Their secondary structure includes four short double-helical elements and three loops (D, anti-codon, and T loops). Lineage: Eukaryota; Metazoa; Chordata; Actinopteri; Percopsiformes; Percopsidae. The record is from RNAcentral.
GGGGGCUUAGGAUAGCUUAGACCAAGGGCCUUCAAAGCCCUAAGCGAGGGUGAAAGCCCCUCAGCCCCUG